AGGAACGAGAGGGAAGAAAGUGAGAGAGAGAGAGAGAGAGAGAGAGAGAGAUUGCCAGGAUGGCCCUGACUUCCUCCCAGCGUGGCCACUGUGGCCGGCUUCUCUCGCCGGUGCCUCGAUAUCCACCCAGAACAGAAUGCAGCGGGGUGUGUGUGUGUGGAAAUCCUCCUCAGCAUUGUCCAAAUUGCAGCGACUUCCCUUGUUCUACUGGUUUUGCUUUGAAAUGUCGGAGGGACAUGAGCAUUUUCAUUUAGAGGGGCAAACUGCACGGUGUUUUUGUUUAUUUGAACCUGUUUCUGUUAAAUAAAUGCUGGAGUUGUUCUCCCUGGA
Long non-coding RNA from Hemicordylus capensis (graceful crag lizard), 330 nucleotides. RefSeq lists it as uncharacterized. The record is from RefSeq and is a predicted model, not a curated record. The transcript has 2 exons. NCBI's taxonomy places the organism in Eukaryota, Metazoa, Chordata, Lepidosauria, Squamata, Cordylidae.